Molecule: non-coding RNA, 173 nt
Organism: Cicer arietinum (chickpea)
Lineage: Eukaryota; Viridiplantae; Streptophyta; Magnoliopsida; Fabales; Fabaceae
Source: RefSeq, a predicted model, not a curated record
CGGAGGGGAGAUAAGAUCUCUCAAUGCUUGGUUUGGUCCAGCUGGAACAGUAACACCAUUACACCAUGAUCCACAUCAUAACAUACUAGCACAGGUUGUCGGGAAAAAGUACAUUCGGCUUUAUCCAGCAUCUAUGUCUGACGAACUUUUUCCCUACUCGGGCACCAUGCUUA